RNAcentral lists this ribosomal RNA (1427 nucleotides) under uncultured prokaryote. Its description in RNAcentral is "partial 16S ribosomal RNA". It matches the Rfam family "Bacterial small subunit ribosomal RNA". The record is from RNAcentral.
GAGUUUGAUCAUGGCUCAGAACGAACGCUGGCGGCAGGCUUAACACAUGCAAGUCGAACGCAUCCUUCGGGAUGAGUGGCAGACGGGUGAGUAACACGUGGGAACGUACCUUUCAGUUCGGAAUAACCCAGGGAAACUUGGGCUAAUACCGUAUACGCCCUUUUGGGGAAAGAUUUAUCGGUAAAGGAUCGGCCCGCGUUAGAUUAGAUAGUUGGUGAGGUAACGGCUCACCAAGUCAACGAUCUUUAGCUGGUCUGAGAGGAUGAUCAGCCACAUUGGGACUGAGACACGGCCCAAACUCCUACGGGAGGCAGCAGUGGGGAAUAUUGGACAAUGGGCGCAAGCCUGAUCUAGCCAUGCCGCGUGUGUGAUGAAGGCCUUAGGGUCGUAAAGCACUUUCGCCAGGGAUGAUAAUGACAGUACCUGGUAAAGAAACCCCGGCUAACUCCGUGCCAGCAGCCGCGGUAAUACGGAGGGGGUUAGCGUUGUUCGGAAUUACUGGGCGUAAAGCGUACGUAGGCGGAUCAGAAAGUAUGGGGUGAAAUCCCGAGGCUCAACCUCGGAACUGCCUCAUAAACUCCUGGUCUUGAGUUCGAGAGAGGUGAGUGGAAUUCCAAGUGUAGAGGUGAAAUUCGUAGAUAUUUGGAGGAACACCAGUGGCGAAGGAGGCUCAAUAGCUCGAUACUGACGCUGAGGUAAGAAAGUGUGGGGAGCAAACAGGAUUAGAUACCCUGGUAGUCCACACCGUAAACGAUGAAUGCCAGACGUCGGGGGGCUUGCCCUUCGGUGUCACACCUAACGGAUUAAGCAUUCCGCCUGGGGAGUACGGUCGCAAGAUUAAAACUCAAAGGAAUUGACGGGGGCCCGCACAAGCGGUGGAGCAUGUGGUUUAAUUCGAAGCAACGCGCAGAACCUUACCAACCCUUGACAUACUCGUCGUCGCUCCAGAGAUGGGAGCCUUCCUUCGGGACCGAGUGACAGGUGCAGCAUGGCUGUCGUCAGCUCGUGUCGUGAGAUGUUGGGUUAAGUCCCGCAACGAGCGCAACCCACGCCCUUAGUUGCCAGCAGGUCAAGCUGGGCACUCUAGGGGAACCGCCGGUGAUAAGCCGGAGGAAGGUGUGGAUGACGUCAAGUCCUCAUGGCCCUGACGGGUUGGGGUACACACGUGCUACAAUGGCAGUGACAAUGGGUUAAUCCCAAAAAACUGUCUCAGUUCGGAUUGGGGUCUGCAACUCGACCCCAUGAAGUUGGAAUCGCUAGUAAUCGCGUAACAGCAUGACGCGGUGAAUACGUUCCCGGGCCUUGUACACACCGCCCGUCACACCAUGGGAGUUGGGUUUACCCGAAGACGGUGCGCCGACCUGGCAACAGGGGGCAGCCGGCCACGGUAAGUUCAGCGACUGGGGUGAAGUCGUAACAAGGUAACC